Beta vulgaris subsp. vulgaris (sugar beet) is the source of this 2906-nucleotide long non-coding RNA. RefSeq lists it as uncharacterized. The transcript has 2 exons. The record is from RefSeq and is a predicted model, not a curated record. NCBI's taxonomy places the organism in Eukaryota, Viridiplantae, Streptophyta, Magnoliopsida, Caryophyllales, Amaranthaceae.
UUAUUUACCACUUUUUAGUUUUUAUUAGUGUUACCCACAAAAAAGUUUGUUCUUUUAUGAAGUGGGUUGUGUUUUAUAUGCUAUAAUUUGGUUAGUAUUGGAUUAUUUAAGUUUGCUUAUGAAAUGGGUAAUUAUUAUUUUUGAAGGAAUGAAAUUGUAUAAGUAUUAAUUUAACUUUAUUGGAGAUCUAGUUUUGCUAAUUUCUUAAUUUUAGCUUAUUGUAAAGUAAAAUUCCCACUGAAUUUUUAGUUAUUGCUUUUGCUUGGAGCUGUUUUUGUUGGGUUAGAGUUAUAUAUAUUUAUAUUAUGUUCGCAUAUAUAUGAAAUAUUUAGGAUGUAGUUAAUGGUUGAAGUGGUUAAUUGAUGUGAAAUAGGUUUUGUUUUCUUUUUUCCUAGUAGAAAGAUGAUCAUGAUGUUGUCCAAGUUAGAUGCUUAACUUAGACACGUACUAGAUUUAAGUGGACGCAAUGCGUGCUUCAAGUUAUAAAAACAUGUACAAUAGUUAUAAUAUAUUAAUAUUAAAUUUUAAAAUAGUAAAAAAAAAAGGAUAUUAAGGUAUUUUAGGUGGACACCAAACCUACUCGAGAGUUGGCUUAUAUAAUAGAGAUUGUUAAUGAUGAUUGGCAGAAAGUAUGUCAUGGAAUGAAGGUACACCUGAUCUGACAAGUUAGUCUAUUAUGUUUUGGGGAACAUGAUGAUCCUUCUCAUAUAUAAAAGGUCAGGUGCUCUGUACAUGACAGGAUCACGGUAUUGCCGGGAACACUUAAGGUUUGACAUAGUUGGACCAGUUUUGUCCAUGUUUUGUGAGGUGUCGUGGUGAACACUACAGUAAUUAGUGUUCUUGUGAGUUGCAAAACUAUAGUCUAUAGACCAACACUUGCAAAGUUUUGGAUGCACGACCUUUACCUGUAUGGAAAAUGCAUGUGGAAAUCAAAGGUUGCAGAGGGUUGUUAUGUUUACAUUUUUUUUGGGUAAUAUAACACCAUUAAUGAGGUGCAGAUUUGAGAACAAAUAAAGUUCUUCACUUCUUUUUCACGAUGUGAUUUCCAUGUGUCUAUUUGUGUGGAGAAACCGAAAAACCACUUAUUUUUGCACUGUGAAUGCUACAUUUGUUUGGUAUAAGCUUUCUGAGGUUUUGAGAGUAGAGUGAAUUAGCUCCAUCUCUCUUUCGCGCACCUGCUAGUUUCUCAUAUUGAUUUGUGUUGGCUGGGAUAGUGCUGCACUGCUGCUAGUAGCAUUGCGACAUUGGGCAUGUGUUGUGCUUUUGUGGAUGUUGCUGUUGAAAGGGAAUGACUGGAUUAUUGGGAUAGCACUUUUUGUGAGAUAGAAUGUCUUCUUGGUAUCUCUAAUGUCUUUGAUCUCAUGCCUUUGGGGCUUUCCAAGGGUUGUUUGUAUCUGAUUUAGAAUGCGAUUGACAAUUUGGUACACACGGUUUCAAGCACUUGAGAACUCCCUACUUCUUGUCUAUUCUGUUGUAUUAUGUAUCACUUUUACUAAUAAUUUAUAGUGGGAUUUAUGAUGGCAAUUUCACUUAGAGAUAGAAGCUUUAUAUAGCCAAUUUUAUCUAAGCGAGAUAUUUUGAUGACAUGAGAUCUGCAUGUUGAACCAAGCUCAUUAAACUAUGUAGGUAAGUGAGUGGACAGUUUCUGUCUUUUGUGAUUGGGGGCAUGGAGAGUGUUGGAGAGGGUGUGUAGUAGGCAGGUGGCAGAGGGGAGUUGUGCUUGGGUUUGUAAAUGGUAUUUUCCAGCGGAAAACAUAUUGUUUUAAGUAUUUAGUUGAUUUGAUUUGGUGUGAAUUAUAUAUUCUAUAAUAUUUUUUUCAUCACAAGUUUUCGUGAAUCCAUUAUAAAGUUGUUGCUAUGGUGUGUACAAUGGCUUUUGUGAAGCUGCCAAUCUUUGUGAAGCUGCCUAGUAACAUCAACUUUGCUUACUAUCAUGCAAAUAGUUCCUUUUUUCUAAUAUGUUACUUCCAAGUUUCAUGUAUCACUUUCAAAAUGGAACCCAAACAAAAUUAAACAGUCAAACAUGUUUCCGCCGAUAGGUUAUCAGCCUAACCAAGCACUGUCUCAGUAAGCUGUAUAUGGUGAAGUGGAGCUUUUGUUGAGUUUAUGAAUCCUUAAUACUGAUUUUUUGAUUAAAAGAAUCAUAUUUCGAGUCGGCAAUACUUUGUUUUGGUCCAUGAGUUUCUUGCCUCAGAAUAUCUAGUUAAAUAGUCAGCGAGCAAGUCAGAAGUGUAGAAAGGAAUCUUUUCUGGCAGUGCUGUAAUAUAAGGUUCUUACUGCUCUGAGUGAUGGUCCUUUGCUUGGUGAGAGACGUCUUGAUAGGAAAGGUGAUUGGUGAAGAGGUAAGAGGGGAGAAACAAGUUACGAUAGAUACUUCUUCCGUGGGAAUUCCAUUUUCAAGAUAACACUGAUAAUUCCUUUCCAGUGGGGGAGACCCAAAUAAUAAUGGUGCAUAAGUCAAACGGCUUAUUUCUUGAAGUAUCCAUUUGUUUCAUAAAGAAGAGUCUUCCCUUGUUCAUGUCUCAAACACGGGCCAGGGAAUUAGCGAUGAUCAAGCUGGCAUAAGGAACUAUUUCAUUGCCACUGCAACCUUAAGGCAAUGUCGUAUUACCAUCCGUAAUGCAUAGGCCAGUGGUACAAAUCUUGGGGAUGAGGAUUAUGGAGGAGGAUGAUGUAACAUGGAACCCUGAGAAGAUGGGUUUCUAGUUUUUCGAGGAAGAGAAGCUGGGAUCAAAAAUUAUAGUCGAGGGUUAAUGAUAAUAAUGGUAUUAUGGAGAAGGCCUUUUUUUAUUUAAGGGGUUGAUCUCUUCCUUUUCUCUUUUGUUGUCAGUUGUGAGGACGUCUUUUCCUCUGCUUGUAGUUUCCUACUUUUAUUUAUCCUAAUAACUCUUUUUUAGCAUGUGGAA